UCUGGCCCCUACCAGUAUGGAACAGACGGUGGCAGCAGCAGCAGCCGGAGAAGAAGGAGAUGGCAGGAGGGCUGCCAGCCUGUGUGGUGGCUUGUGGCAUGGGAAAUACAAAAUUGGAUAUGCUGGAAAUACAGAACCACAGUUUAAUACCCUUUCCUGUAUUGCUACAAAUGAGUCAGCAAAAGUGAGGGAUCAAGCUCAAAGGAGGGUGAUGAAAUGUGUUGAUGACCAAGACUCCUUCAUUGAUGAUGAAGCAGUAGAAAAAACCUACAUAUGCGAUAAAGUGGCCAAUCCACAUGGUAUAGCUGAAGUUGGGGACUUGACGGAAAGAUUUAUGGAGCAAGUGAUCUUAAAUAUUUAAGGGCAGAAACUGAAGGCCAUUAUUUUAUUUUGUCUGAACCUUGACUGAAUACUGCAGGAAACAGGGAAUAUACUGCUGAAGUAAUGCUUGAGUCCUUCAAUAUUCCAGGCUUCUACAUUGCUGUGCAGGCUGUUCUUGCCUUAGCUACAUCUUGGACCUCCAGACAAGUAGGACGACAGACAUUGACUGGUAAAGUAAUAGACAGUGGAGAUGGUGUCACUCACGUCAUUCCUGUGGCUGAAGGGUAUUUGACUGGCAGCUGUAUUAAAUACAUUGCAGUCCCAGGAUGAGAUAUAACAUAUUUUAUUCCGUAACUGCUGAGAGACUGAGAAGAAUCCCUCAAAAACAAUCCCUGGAAGCUGCUAAGCCAAUAAAGGAGCACUAUAGUUAUGUCUACCCAGAUUUAGUAUAAGAAUUUAACAAGUAUGACACAGAUGGGUCAAAAUGGAUUAAACAGUAUACCAGAAUCCAUGCUGUCUCAAAGAAAGACUUUUCCAUUGGUGGUGUUUCUGAGAGAUUCUGAGGACCUGAAACCUUUUUUCAUCCAGAGUUUGCUAAUCCAGACUUUACAUAACCUAUCUCAGAAGUUAUAAAUGAAGUAAUUCAGAAUUGUCCUAUUGAUGUCAGACGUCCUGUCUACAAGAAUAUGGUCCUCUUUGUAGGUUCAACCAUGUUCAGUGACUUUGGAUAUCACUUACAAAGAGAUUUGAAAAGAACUCUAGAUUCCUGGCUGAGAUUAAGUAAGAAAUUUAGUGGGAGAAGAGUGAAGCCAAAAUCUAUUGAUGUACAAGUCAUUACACACCACGUGCAGUGAUAUGCAGCUUGGCUUGGAGGAUCAGUGCUGGCUUCUACACCUGAGUUCUACCAAGCAUGCCACACUAAAAAUGAUUAUGAAGAAAUUGGACCUAAAAUUUGCCAUCACAAUCCAGUGUUUGGAGUCAUGUCAUAA
RNA transcript from Cebus imitator (Panamanian white-faced capuchin), 1310 nucleotides. It is a transcript of the gene named actin-related protein 3-like, with no coding region annotated. Lineage: Eukaryota; Metazoa; Chordata; Mammalia; Primates; Cebidae. The transcript has a single exon. The record is from RefSeq and is a predicted model, not a curated record.